RNAcentral lists this ribosomal RNA (620 nucleotides) under uncultured bacterium. Its description in RNAcentral is "bacterial SSU rRNA". It matches the Rfam family "Bacterial small subunit ribosomal RNA", at positions 116 to 716 of the family's 1533-position model. The record is from RNAcentral.
CGUGAGUGACCUGCCUUCGAGUGGGGGAUAACGUCCCGAAAGGGACGCUAAUACCGCAUGACAUCCUGCCUUUGAAGAGGUGGAAAUCAAAGCUGGGGAUCGCAAGACCUAGCGCUUGAAGAGGGGCUCGCGUCCGAUUAGCUAGUUGGUGGGGUAACGGCCCACCAAGGCAACGAUCGGUAGCCGGCCUGAGAGGGCGGACGGCCACACUGGGACUGAGACACGGCCCAGACUCCUACGGGAGGCAGCAGUGGGGAAUUGUUCGCAAUGGGCGCAAGCCUGACGACGCAACGCCGCGUGGAGGAUGAAGAUCUUCGGGUCGUAAACUCCUUUCGAUCGAGACGAACGGCCUCCGGGUUAACACUCCGGAGGAGUGACGGUACCGAGAGAAGAAGCCCCGGCUAACUCCGUGCCAGCAGCCGCGGUAAUACGGGGGGGGCAAGCGUUGUUCGGAAUUACUGGGCGUAAAGGGCUCGUAGGCGGCCAACUAAGUCGGACGUGAAAUCCCUCGGCUUAACCGGGGAACUGCGUCCGAUACUGGAUGGCUGGAGUUUGGGAGAGGGAUGCGGAAUUCCAGGUGUAGCGGUGAAAUGCGUAGAUAUCUGGAGGACACCGGUGGC